UACACUCCUACGGGAGGCAGCAGUGGGGAAUUUUGGACAAUGGGCGAAAGCCUGAUCCAGCAAUGCCGCGUGUGUGAAGAAGGCCUUCGGGUUGUAAAGCACUUUUGUCCGGAAAGAAAUCCUUGGCUCUAAUACAGUCGGGGGAUGACGGUACCGGAAGAAUAAGCACCGGCUAACUACGUGCCAGCAGCCGCGGUAAUACGUAGGGUGCGAGCGUUAAUCGGAAUUACUGGGCGUAAAGCGUGCGCAGGCGGUUUGCUAAGACCGAUGUGAAAUCCCCGGGCUCAACCUGGGAACUGCAUUGGUGACUGGCAGGCUAGAGUAUGGCAGAGGGGGGUAGAAUUCCACGUGUAGCAGUGAAAUGCGUAGAGAUGUGGAGGAAUACCGAUGGCGAAGGCAGCCCCCUGGGCCAAUACUGACGCUCAUGCACGAAAGCGUGGGGAGCAAACAGGAUUAGAUACCCGAGUAGUCCC
RNAcentral lists this ribosomal RNA (473 nucleotides) under uncultured organism. RNAcentral's name for it is "partial 16S ribosomal RNA". It matches the Rfam family "Bacterial small subunit ribosomal RNA", at positions 332 to 797 of the family's 1533-position model. The record is from RNAcentral.